CCUACGGGAGGCUGCAGUGGGGAAUAUUGGGCAAUGGGCGCAAGCCUGACCCAGCAACGCCGCGUGAAGGAAGAAGGCUUUCGGGUUGUAAAAUUCUUUUGACAGGGAAGAGCAGAAGGCGGUACCUGUCGAAUAAGCCACGGCUAAAUACGUGCCAGCAGCCGCGGUAAUACGUAGGUUGCAAGCGAUGUCCGGAUUUACUGGGUGUAAAGGGCGUGUAGCCGGGCUGACAAGUGAGAUGUGAAAUCCGGGGGCUCAACCCCCGACCCGCAGUUGAAACUGUUGGUCUUGAGUAUCGGAGAGGUAGGCGGAAUGCCUAGUGUAGCGGUGAAAUGCGUAGAUAUUAGGAGGAACACCAGUGGCGAAGGCGGCCUGCUGGACGACAACUGACGGUGAGGCGCGAAAGCGUGGGGAGCAAACAGGAUUAGAUACCCUUGUAGUC
Molecule: ribosomal RNA, 442 nt
Filed under: uncultured bacterium
Lineage: Bacteria
Description: partial 16S ribosomal RNA
Rfam family: Bacterial small subunit ribosomal RNA
Source: RNAcentral